UCAUGGAAAUGCAAGGUUUAUUCAUGCUCCAAAAAACCCAAGGCUUGUUCCUCUCCUUUUCUGCUCACUCUUCCUGUAAGAAACAGACUGACAGAGGCUAAAGAAAGAAAAAGGGGAGGGGGGGGAAUUUGUUUUACAGUGGGGGGCUCCUUAUCCAGACAACAGAAACCUGGCAAGGCAAAAGAAUUGUACCAUCACCUUCUCUUCUGCAGCAGGCAACUGAGAGCUGGAUAGACAGGAGACAUUUUGCAAGACUCUGCAACUGAAGCAGUGCUAACCAGGUGGUGCGGGUUCAAAUGGCUGCCAAGCUUUUCGUUCUAAUCAGCUGGCCAGAUGGCAGCCGUGUGAUCAACAUCGAAAACAUCAAAGAACCCCGAAAGCCAUUUCAUCGCUACAUGGUGGGGGAGCAGGUGCUAGCCCGCUGCCCUGGCUUCAGUGGUCUGUACUGGGGGGUUGUGGAAGGCAUAAGCGAGCAUAAAGAUAUCUUAGAGAAAAGGCUGCAGGAAAAUAGACAACUCUUUGAGAAGCUAAGUAAGUAUGGAGUUUUGCACAGGAGGAUUAAUAUACAGCAGGCAGUGUAUUUCUGGAGGAAAGUAAUUAACUAUAUUAACCUUAUACCCCGGUGUGGUUUUUUUAAAUGGAUGGAUCAUAAAUAUAUCCUCGUCCCAUCCCUUAUGAAUCGUACGACAGCGUCCAUGUAGUAAGGACUGAGAACACUGCUGUGGGAUGUUGCAAUAUAUGUCAUUGUGGUAUUGCCAAUUACCAUAUGGGCCCCAUCUUGGUUUCAGAAGACGAACCAGCAGUGCACAGUGGGCUGCCAUCCCAACCUAAAAAAUCAAGGAAGUCUUUUCCAAAAUGGAUGCCAGGAAGUUCCUCUCGGAAAUACAGCGAUGACCGGAGCUUCUAUGUCAAACCGCUGGUCGGGGAUGAAGACGCAGGGCUCCAGCGUGAUGCUGCCAUCUCUUCUGUCUUAAAAGAGAGGCGCAUCCUGACUAGCACGACUAGAUCCCACUGCACAAUGUCAGCACCUCACCACUCUUCCCCGGCCUUCAAAUCACCAUCUCCGUUCUUGUCCCUGGCUGUGCCUGGAACAUCCCAGAAUGAAGAAGCAAGGCCUGGCACAGCUACCAGAGAUUACAUCACCCUGACAAUGAAAAGGAAGUCAGAUGGCAUUCUAGCUAAGUGUCAGCAGCACAUCUGUACCAACAGCUGUGAUGAACCAAAGACUGAAGGUUCCCCAGAAACAGAUGAUUUUGAGGUAGUUCCGAAAGAUUUUGGCCCUGGUGAAAUGGAAAGGUCCGAGAAGAUUGAACAACUGGAGAGAAUCAUAGUAGAUCUCCAGCAAGAGGUCCUCUCCCUGAAACGGAAGGUGCAGCGGCUGGAGUCACUGUCCUUUCAGGAAGAACCCCAUAGGCAGCAAGGCGAGGUGGUGGAAUUGUUUAAUGGCUACACAAAGGAGCAUUUAAAAGAGGCCAUCCGAUUUGACCAGAAAAUCAGCACCGCCUGCAAAACACUACUCUACAAGCUGUUCACGUCCGACUAUAUACAGAGCCACUCCAUCACAGGAAGGAGAGGGAACACCUUUCGGGAGGCUAAGCCCAUGAUGGAUGAGCGGUGCAUCAAAAUCAUUAGGGUGUUACUGAAGCAGAAGUUUGGGGACCACCUGAGCGACACAGUAAUCACUGAGAAAAUCCAAAAUGUGCAGAAAGCACUCAGGCAGAAAUUUAAGACGGAAUGUCUCUGA
Molecule: long non-coding RNA, 1744 nt
Organism: Chrysemys picta bellii (western painted turtle)
Lineage: Eukaryota; Metazoa; Chordata; Testudines; Emydidae
Source: Ensembl